CCCUAAAGUGCUGAUUCAAUCUCUCUCAAAGUGUUUUCCCUUCAAAUUAGUGUUUGUCUGCUUAUAUUCUGUGCUUGUCUUACCUUGGGGAUGAUUUCUUAAAACAAAUUAUGAGGCACAUUCUGGCAAUAAGAAAUUUCCUAAAUGUGAUGUUUAACAUUGGUGCCUAGAAAUCAUAAGUUCAAUUGACUGUAUUUUGUUAUUUUUUUUCUUUUGAAUGGGGAAAGGGUAGAAGAAUCUGUUUUCUUCACAGAUGAAAUUUUCCAUUAAAGGAAGCUAUUAUAUUUCCAUAUCAGUACACUUAUUUUAUACUCAACCUCUCUAGGGAUGACAGCCUGUUCAGCAGGAAAGCCCUAAAGGUCAUCCAAUGACUAGAUUGAUACAUUUCACGGAAAAAUUGAGACUAACUUUCUUACUGUGAAAUAUAGAAACCUGAGUCAUCAUUACCAUAAACUCAUAGCAGAUCUAUAGUUACCUUUGAAAUAAAAGGGGAUUACAGGACAUUCUUGUUUUGAUGGUGGGCUCCAGUUUCUCAUCCUCAAAAAUUUGGUUCUCAUAUUAAAAUACUAUUAAUACAAAAAUUAUGCCAUAUGAAGUGAGUAUCCAAAGAUUUCUAAAUAAAACAUGUACUGAAAUUAGUAAAAAUUUCUCAUAGUGUUAUAUGGGAUUAACGGCGAUUUCACAAAUGGGAAUACCUUUUUAAUUCUUUCUACUUAUUUACCUAUUUAUUUGGAAGUACAGUAUUACAAACUAGGGAGCGGCUAAGACUGGCUAAGCAAUCAUGCUGGAAAUUAUUGCAUAGCUCAGCAAAAUAUCCUAAAAAUAAAAAUAUGCCUUACUUUUAUGUCCAGGAACUUUUUAUUAUUUCUGACUUAGAAAAUGUUAUUUCUAAAUUUUUAAUGCUAGUUAUACUUCUUUCUUUUGGUCACCAUAAGGCUUUCUAGCACUUUCCUCAAAGGAAGGGAAAUUAAAUAAAUGGGUAUAACUCAGUCCACUUUGGUGACAGCUUGUUUGUGAGCUCGAGUUUGGAGACAGAAUAAAUUGGACUAUUUGCUAAAAUGGGGUUUUAGGAUUAUUCAAGAGGAAACAAUUUCAUGUAUGGCUUUUCACUCUGGUUAGUCUUUGAUUGUAGAUCCUACAUUUAUUACUGUGUAGUCAGUAUGCUUACAACUGGGCAUCCCAAUGGCUAGGAGAUAAUGUGAGUCUCUGGACAAACACUCCUGCUGAGCCAGAAAUGCUGUCAGAAUUUCCUCAAAGAAUGAUCUCAGUGUUUGUCUUUAUUCUGAUUUCAAUCACACGGUGAUUUGUCAGGGCUUUAUAAAUGCAAUUUAAUCCUGUUCAAUUUCCAAGGAGGGGUGAACAUGCAACAAAAUGAAUUAACUAGGCCAAUCAUAAUCAAACACUGCAGAAAGCCAGGCAGAACCCACCAUAUGCCAAGGGUGUAUAGAUCUCAUCCUGCCUGGGAAAACUUGACACUCCGCCUGGUGCAGGGAUUGGGAGGGUAACUGAGGGAGGUAAGGAGGUAGGAUAUCCCUUAGGGAAGGAGCAUCACUCCUCUCAGGAGAUCUGUUCCUAUGACUUUCAACAAAGCACCACCGAAUUGUCAUUGUAUUUUGUGAGUAGCUAAAUUCUUCUGGGAAUUAAGGAAAAAAUUUGAAGUUGCCAUGAAGGUAGCCUCUUCCCAAUUACACCUUAGCUAAAGGUAGCACUCUGAUUCUCUGAGGAUAAUUGGUCCAUCUAAUAAAAUCACAUUGAAUCUGGAGCAAUCCUGAGUGUUUUCUAAGCUCAAGCUAAGAAAUGCUGCUUUCAAGGGGCAGCAGUACAGCAUUAAGAACAUGGUAUGGCCCUGCGGGCUGGUUUUACUACUGAUUACUUAUGUGACCUUGGGUGAGUGACUUAACUUCAAUGAGCUUUUGUUUUUUUUUUUUUUCAUUUGUAAAAUGCAGAUAAUACCCUCAUGGUGUUGAUGUUGAAAUUAAGGGAGACAAUGAAAGUAAAGUGCUUAGUACACUGCAUGGCAUGUGGUAAAUGCUCCAUAAACAUUCAUGUUAUUGUUUUCAGUAUAAGCAGUCAAAAAUACCAAAAUUUUUCUUCAUGCAACAAAUAUUUAUUGUGCGUUUACUAUAUGCCAAACUUGCCAAAUACUGGAGAAUAUUUGAAAAAUACCUUAUUCAGUGACCAAAGUAAGAAUCUGCAUCUCUGUUGUUGGCUGUAGAUGGCAAUUUCUGCUUCCUGGCCUUACUUCUUUAAAGAAAAAAAUUUCCCAUGCAUUAGUCACUUAGAUCAACCCAUUGCCACAUUUUUUUAGUGUUGAAAGCUAAUAUAUUUUAGUAAUGCUUCAAUGAACUGUGGUAGCAACAAAUAAAGAAAUUGACUUCUGUCCCAAAAUAUGGGGAGUAGAGUUGUAAUCAGGAUUACAAAAAAAAAGGGGCCAGUAUUACAAGCUGCUAAAAUGCUUUUGCGUGGAUUAUUGUUUUAUUUGGACCCCCUCCACCCUUUAAAUCUGAUACAUGCUAAGAUUUUCAUGGGCACAGCCACCUCCUAAUAUGUGGUUUUGCUUCUCUGCAAGCAUGGAAUCCCCUCUGCAGUUAUGUUUGCCUGUGCAUCUCCGGCAGCUGGAGGACGAAUCACAUCAGGCUGAUGAGUGUGUCACGCUCUUCAUCCCCCAAGAGCUGUGAUGAAGACCAAGACAAACAGUAGAUUAACAGUGCUACCUUUUAUAAGGCUGAUUAGUUCCUAAAAUAUGCUGAAAGGAAACAAAACCAAAAAGAAAAAAGAGUGGAAAGGGGGGUGAGACAGAAACCUUUGUCGAGUCUCAUUCCAUCACCCAGGCUGGAGUGCAGCGGCGUG
Molecule: long non-coding RNA, 2850 nt
Filed under: Homo sapiens (human)
Lineage: Eukaryota; Metazoa; Chordata; Mammalia; Primates; Hominidae
Description: HSALNT0376401
Source: RNAcentral